ACAAAGUUUUGGUCCUAAACUUUCUGUUAUUUAUAAUCAAAUUUACACAUGCAAGUCUCAGCACACCAGUGAAAAUGCCCACUAACCAAACUAAGGCCAAUGGAGAGGGUAUCAGGCUCAAUCCCUUUAGCCCAAGACACCUUGUAUUGCCACGCCCACACGGGAUUUCAGCAGUGACCAACAUUAAGCAAUAGGCGAACACAUCAAGCCUGACUUAGUAAUGAUUAUAUAGAUCCGGUAAAUUUCGUGCCAGCCACCGCGGUUAUACGAAAGGCUCACAAUAACAUAAUCGGCGUAAAAUGUGACUAGAAUACGCCCCAUUAAGGAAGAACAUCGCUACAUAGUAAAAUAUCACAGCAUGCAAGAACAACCAACCACAUCCUUAAAACAUUUGAAUUCACGAAAGCCAAGAAACAAACUGGGAUUAGAUACCCCACUAUGCUUAGCCCUAAACUUAGAUAGAAUCUCACACACUAUCCGCCAGAGAACUACAAGCGAAAAGCUUAAAACUCCAAGGACUUGGCGGUGUCCCACAUCAGCCUAGAGGAGCCUGUCCUAUAAUCGACACCACACGCUCAACCCCUCCAUUUUUUGUCCAUCAGCCUAUAUACCGCCGUCGUCAGCCAACCUUAUGAAAGUCUAAAAGUCGGCAAAAUAGUAUGACACUAAAACGUCAGGUCAAGGUGUAGCCUACAAAAUGGUAGAGAUGGGCUACACUCUCUAUCAAAGAAAAUACGAACAGCGCAAUGAAAUAAGCGCUUAAAGGCGGAUUUAGUAGUAAAAUUACCUAGAAUAUUAAUUUUAAAAAGCCCUGGGACACGCACACACCGC
This 831-nucleotide non-coding RNA is filed under the name Dibamus sp. MCB-2004. RNAcentral describes it as "partial 12S ribosomal RNA". It matches the Rfam family "Bacterial small subunit ribosomal RNA". Lineage: Eukaryota; Metazoa; Chordata; Lepidosauria; Squamata; Dibamidae. The record is from RNAcentral.